Non-coding RNA from Vicia faba (fava bean), 189 nucleotides. NCBI's taxonomy places the organism in Eukaryota, Viridiplantae, Streptophyta, Magnoliopsida, Fabales, Fabaceae. The record is from the annotation of a GenBank genome assembly.
AUGCACAACAACGUAACCCUCCGUCAAAACACCGAUUCCGCAAGCUUCCGCUGUUUCGCAUCAAAUUCUUCCGCCAGUACAUCCAUCCAUCUCAGUUCAACAACAACAAAGAGCAGCUUCACCUCUGAGCUCGUUCAUCAGCUUUCAUUCGGUAAACAUUUGUAUCAACCCUUAACUCAUUUGUUUUGA